This 413-nucleotide ribosomal RNA is filed under the name uncultured bacterium. RNAcentral describes it as "bacterial SSU rRNA". It matches the Rfam family "Bacterial small subunit ribosomal RNA", at positions 917 to 1333 of the family's 1533-position model. The record is from RNAcentral.
GGGCCCGCACAAGCGGUGGAGCAUGUGGUUUAAUUCGAUGAUACGCGAGGAACCUUACCAGGGCUUAAAUGUAAGUUGCAUUAGUUAGAGAUAGCUAUUUCUUCGGACUACUUACAAGGUGCUGCAUGGUUGUCGUCAGCUCGUGCCGUGAGGUGUCAGGUUAAGUCCUAUAACGAGCGCAACCCCUAUCGUUAGUUGCCAGCGGGUCAUGCCGGGUACUCUAGCGAGACUGCCGGUGCAAACCGAGAGGAAGGUGGGGAUGACGUCAAAUCAUCACGGCCCUUACGUCCUGGGCUACACACGUGCUACAAUGGCCGGUACAGAGAGCAGCCACUACGCGAGUAGGCGCGAAUCUUCAAAGCCGGUCUCAGUUCGGAUCGCAGUCUGCAACUCGACUGCGUGAAGCUGGAAUC